Molecule: long non-coding RNA, 1870 nt
Organism: Betta splendens (Siamese fighting fish)
Lineage: Eukaryota; Metazoa; Chordata; Actinopteri; Anabantiformes; Osphronemidae
Exons: 2
Source: RefSeq, a predicted model, not a curated record
CCUGUUGGCAUAGAUGUUCUAAUGAACGCCCUAGAUGUUUGCAGUAAUGCAGAAAACGCUAGUCUAUUUCAGUCAUGAAGUCAUUUGUGGAACACAAAGCCAAACACGUCGUGGGGUUUGCAGCUUUUCUUUGUUUGAAAUGACUGUCGCCUGCCGCGAACAACGCACGGUACACGACGAAAUGUCACCUUGGGAGACGGGAAACAAAGACUCAGCAUUUGUCUACGUUUCGUGUGAUGCACAAUUAAGCGUUUCACACGAUGAUCUAAUGAACAACACGCGAUUAGCUGCGCGGGUUCAACACUGGACCGCCUCUCGGUGGAUCCGGUCACACAGCUGUUGUCGAAGGUGACAGACGUGACAAAUUAAUGAUCAGGCAGCGUUGCAGUCAAGUUUCCCCGCUUGUGACAGCCUAUGCUUUUAAAUCGUGACUACGUACCCGCAACGAUCGGCGACAGCGCGGCUCUGGUUAGUUUCAGCCAGCAGAUGGAUGCAGCAGGAAGCCCUCGGUGUAACGCACCCAACCUGGUGAGCGCUGGACACAAACACACACUGAGACUCACGCGUACGUGCACACGGAGGCGCAGGAAGGGAUGUGGAGUUUCUCCCGCUGAAGCAGCUGAUCGUCCGCCGCCGGUAGCCGUUCAUACAUUAAAGCUUUGUUUUCACAGAGGAGGACAAAUGCCCGCACACACACGCAGCGUCAUCACACAUGACUGCAUACAAAUGCAUGCAAACACACCUGUGCACACCCACACACGCGAGGCAACAGCAUAUAGGCAGCUUUAGGUCUGCGUUUGAAUAUGAUUUGUAUAUAUGUCACUUGGCUUUUCAUUCAUUUAGUCGGAUGCGUCACAGCGCAUAAAUAGGCAACACAACCUGUAACUGCGUAUUAAAAGACACUACAAAAGAAAGGGACACUGCACCUGAGGCGUCCUCUGUCCUGGUGGCGUCUAUUCAGUGAUUUUAGCAGCAGGUGAACCCAGCAGAGACGUCAGUAUAAGUGAGUGUAUAGAAGAAGCACAGUCACACCAGUCGGUCAGCCUUUGCACCCAGUAUCCACAUGAGCUAAAGAAAUGAAAAGGCUGUUGGUCUACAGACAAAAUGGCUAAUAUAUUAACCUAUUUACCAAUAUUAGAUUUAAAUGAUGCAGUGUUUAAAUGUUUUAUGUUCAGGGUGACUUUGAUCAGAUCACAUUAGACUCUAAACUCGUGACAUUAUUUCAUGAGUCAUUUCUUUAAUGUUUCAUGAACAUUGUUGCAUGAACAGGUUUAGAUAUGCAUGAACCAACCACUGGCUAAAGUGUCAUGAGAAGCACAUUUCUUUCCUCCUUUGUCUGAAAACUGCCCCAGUUUCUCCUUUACGGCAUGUCUGCACAUCAGAGUUCCCAUCUGGUUCUACAAGUUCAAGCAGGCCUCCGGCACUGCCUGAUAGGUUGAAGGAAGAGACAGCAGCUUCUACUCCACAACAAAAUAUAAUUUAAUGAAUUCACUUUUCACUGUGUCGAUUACAACUCUAUGUUGGUGUAACAAAAAAAAGGAAAUGAUCCAGUGCUCUCAUUUGUCUUAAUGUAAGGCAUGCAGUCUCCACACAGCGCUGGACAUUUAAAGCUACAGUUACUGUACAGUAGGACUCACUGACACUCGGCCACAAAUACACACACAAGCUCGUAUUACCCACACUUUUCUUGGGCCCAAUAAACAUUUAUUCUUUGCACAUAUAAUGAGUAAAUCUAGGAUUCAUCACAACACUAAAAGAAGUUGUAGUUCACAAAUACACAGGAUACGUAAAUUCUCCCAGUGGGGCCUUUUUCCUACCAUCUCAGCUCUUGGGGAAUAAUUGGUGAUGCUGCAAUUCUUGAAUAUGAAAA